CCCAGACUCCUACGGGAGGCAGCAGUGAGGAAUAUUGGUCAAUGGCCGAGAGGCUGAACCAGCCAAGUCGCGUGAGGGAUGACGGCCCUACGGGUUGUAAACCUCUUUUGUCGGGGAGCAAAGAGGCCUCGUGAGGUCAAAAGCGAGAGUACCCGAAGAAAAAGCAUCGGCUAACUCCGUGCCAGCAGCCGCGGUAAUACGGAGGAUGCGAGCGUUAUCCGGAUUUACUGGGUGUAAAGGGCGUGUAGCCGGGCUGACAAGUCAGAUGUGAAAUCCCGUGGCUCAACCACGGAACUGCAUUUGAAACUGUCGGUCUUGAGUAUCGGAGAGGCAGGCGGAAUUCCUAGUGUAGCGGUGAAAUGCGUAGAUAUUAGGAGGAACACCAGUGGCGAAGGCGGCCUGCUGGACGACAACUGACGGUGAGGCGCGAAAGCGUGGGGAGCAAACAGGAUUAGAUACCCUAGUAGA
Molecule: ribosomal RNA, 468 nt
Filed under: uncultured bacterium
Lineage: Bacteria
Description: bacterial SSU rRNA
Rfam family: Bacterial small subunit ribosomal RNA
Source: RNAcentral